RNAcentral lists this non-coding RNA (28 nucleotides) under Bombyx mori (domestic silkworm). Lineage: Eukaryota; Metazoa; Arthropoda; Insecta; Lepidoptera; Bombycidae. The record is from RNAcentral.
UACAGUAUUGCAGUUGUUAUUUUUACUA